This 253-nucleotide ribosomal RNA is filed under the name uncultured bacterium. RNAcentral's name for it is "partial 16S ribosomal RNA". It matches the Rfam family "Bacterial small subunit ribosomal RNA", at positions 524 to 776 of the family's 1533-position model. The record is from RNAcentral.
UACGUAAGGGGCAAGCGUUGUCCGGAAUUACUGGGCGUAAAGGGUACGCAGGCGGUCUGGCCAGUCAGAGGUGAAAGCUAUCGGCUUAACCGAUAAAGUGCCUUUGAAACUGUUAGACUUGAGGACAGGAGAGGAAAGUGGAAUUCCCGGUGUAGUGGUGAAAUACGUAGAUAUCGGGAAGAAUACCAAUGGCGAAAGCAGCUUUCUGGCCUGUCACUGACGCUGAGGUACGAAAGCUAGGGCAGCAAACGGG